GUCAACUAUGCUCCCUGCAAGAGGAGAUCUCAGUGACACAUUUUCAUGGCCACCACAGUUCACUCUUCGCAUCAUAGCCUUACUUUUGAGAGAAGCUCCUCCAGGGCUCCCACGGAUCUUACCUCCUAAGGAAGAUCUUAGAAAAGGGAGGUUAGUGGUAUGAGCUAAAGCCCCCAUUGCUGCAGCUGGUACUCCUCCCACCGCCUCUAUUAUCCAUUCUCAAUUUCCCUCAUCUUCAUCUAUUGCCUUGGCCCACUUUGGUGCUUUACUUUAUUGUGUGAGCCAAACCUUUAGUCUUGAGGCCUUGGCAGUUACAUCCUUUUUGGCCGGGGUUGUUUCAAGUCCAGUUACAACAGCACAAGGGAGUACCAGGAGGUGUCCAAGUGGAUCACUUGGGUUCCACACCUCUUCCUCCCUGUCCCAUUGUGUAAAAGCAGCUCUACCUCCCCUGCUGUCAGGAUUGAUACCCUUUUCAUAAUGAUGACUCCUCUUCUCACCUACCGGUCCCCAGACAUAAGACUCUCCUAUUCCUUUUCGAAAGUCAAAAACAUUUCAUAACAACUUUUUAAAAUUUAAAAUUGAAUCAAGCCUAAUUUUUUAAUGUGAAGGGAUACAUAGCUGCUAUUAAUUUUAAUGGAGGAAAAUUUUGGUAUAAAUUAUAGAAUAUCCACUGUAUUUAAUCUGAUAAUCAAGGUAGAAAUGAAAUAAUCACCAUCUCUCUACAUUAGGAAUAUUUAUUCUUUUUUUCUUGUAUAUGUAGGGAACUACACAGGGGCUUAAAAUUUUAUUGAAAAACAGAACAUAUAUGAGCCUCAAAAUCCUCAAAAAAAGAAAAAAGGUAAAUAAAACGGCCAUUUGAGGAUUAAACUAGAAAAAUCUGCACAUAAUGAAGAUUAGCCAUCUGUAAGACAAAAUCAAUGAACUGUCUGGGAUCUAAGACUAAACCAAAGGACUGCAAGACUGGAAUCAGAUGAGUCAGAAAAUGAAGCCAAAUUAACUGUCUUACCCUUGCUGUAAAACACCUAUGUGAAGACAAGGCAAAUGGUGAGGCCAAAAAGGAAGACAGG
This 1067-nucleotide long non-coding RNA is filed under the name Equus asinus (donkey). Its description in RNAcentral is "lncRNA (ENSEASG00005025657.1, ENSEASG00020010526.1)". The record is from RNAcentral. Lineage: Eukaryota; Metazoa; Chordata; Mammalia; Perissodactyla; Equidae.